UGUAGAUGUUCUAGUGACUAUAGUGUCCCUUUAACUGUAACCUUCAUUACAAUUGAGCCGAUAACAUUUAUUGGCAACUUAUCAGCUCCCAUAAGCCUUUUAUCAGUUUGAAUAAAUGUAAAAAAAUGUUGCCACCUGGAUUUAACUAAGAAAAUAGGUAAGAGCCUCCUAUUGUAUAGUUACUGAAUGGACGAUUAUCUUUCAACUGGCAACAAGUUACUUAACCCCAAAUGAUGCAAUGAGUAGCUUCUCAUGGUCGUGAAAAAGAUGUUAGUUUGUUUUAAAGGAUCAAAUCAUUGACAUGCAUUAAGCAGAGAAAACAUGUAAGGAGAUUACAGAAACUACAAAAAUUGGGUUAAGAACUGUCCAACGCAUUAUUAAAAAACUGGAAGGAUAGUGGGGAACCACCAGUGAUGGGCGCAUCAGGGUAAGAAGAGCGGUAGAUGAAGUGAUGCACCCAUCAUGCCUAGUGCCUACUGUACAAGCCUGUGGGGACAGUGCUAUGAUCUUGGGUUGCUGCAGUUGGUCAGGUUCAGGUUCAGCAACAUUAUGUGCCCAAAGAAUGAGGUUAGCUGACUACCUGAAUCUACUGAAUGACCAGGUUAUUCCAUCAAUGGAUUUUUUCUUCCCUGAUGGCACAGGCAUAUUCCAAGAUGACAAUGCCAGGAUUCAUCAGCUCCAAACUGGUGGAUUGGCCACCACAGAGUCCAGACCUUAACCCCAUUGAGAAUCUCUGGGAUGUGCUAGAGAAGGCUUUGCACAGUGGUCCAACUCUCCCAUCAUUAAUACUAGAUCUUGGUGAAAAAUGAAUGCACCACUGGACUGAAAUAAAUCUUGUGACAUUGCAGAAGCUUAUAGAAACAAUGCCACAGGGAAUGCAAGCCGUAAUCAAAGCUAAAGGUGGACAAAAUAAAUAUUAAAGUGUGUGACCUUUUUUGUGGUGGCAACUUUUUUUUUGGCCAGGUAGUGUAUAUACAUGCUUUUCUGUCAGUAAUCAUAUGAAAGGAUUAGAGAAAAGCAGAUGUGGUGACUACAUUUAAAAAGGUGUUAUUAAUACAACCUGAGAAUACAAUCUACCGAGUGUACGAAAACGCUUCUGGUUUUAGGCCUGUUUGGAUUUUAGCGCAUGGGGACUGGGUGAUGUCAUGUAUGUCAGUGAGCUCUCUUACUCAGUAAACGGGAGAACGAUCAGUAACCUCUUUCAUUACGCACAUUGUCUCAAAUUCGUUGUCUGUUUGCUUACUCCCUGGCACUAUGUUCAGAUUGCUGUGGACCUGCGAGUCCCAAAG
Molecule: non-coding RNA, 1289 nt
Organism: Pelobates cultripes (western spadefoot toad)
Lineage: Eukaryota; Metazoa; Chordata; Amphibia; Anura; Pelobatidae
Source: the annotation of a GenBank genome assembly